RNAcentral lists this long non-coding RNA (1338 nucleotides) under Androctonus crassicauda. The record is from RNAcentral. Lineage: Eukaryota; Metazoa; Arthropoda; Arachnida; Scorpiones; Buthidae.
AAUGCCUUAGCAGUCAGAUUGAAAAUGUUAUCUUAUCUGUCAUCUAGAGAGAUCCUACUUUGUUCAAUUUCAAUAUGUCAAAACUGAUUUAUAAUUCUCUUUGCAAAGAUGAAAUACCUCAAAUUUAUUAGACAGUAGCCAAUUAAUAAAAACAAAUUAAUUGUCCAGAUAGCUAAUUAUUGGUUAAUUGGCUUAUGAAAUGAUAAUAUUGAUUACUGAUUACCUACCAUUUAGAUACAUAAGUCAAAUGCUUUCACCUUUUUUAUGCUAUUAGCACAUCCUAUGAUAGCACAGUCCCCUCUAUAAUUCCAACUCUGUAUCCUUGUCAUAGAAGUGUGCAAUAGGAGUAGGAGUCUCAACUUUGAGUUCCUUUUCUUGGCUAAAGGAGCUCUGGUUCUACCCAAACCAAGAUAUAAGGUCAUAGUUGAGUGGUAUUAGGAUAUUAAAAGAUGCAGUUUUGAGAACAAUCCUUUUGAGGCACCAAGUGAAACUUCAUUGUAUUUAGCCUUCCACUUGUAUUGGAGGAUAAUCAGAUGGCGAUAUUUUUCUUCCUCCAAUUUUUUGGAGGAAGAAAAAUAGUAGCACUGUAUCGUUCCUAAAAACAAAUCUUUGGAUGGUAAGUCUGAGAUCCAUCUUUUUUGGGCUAAAGAGAUAGUAAUGAUAUCAGAGGCUUUCAGCUACUGGGAACAUUCUCAACUAGCUAUCUUUGGGCCAUCUGCUGGCAUCUUUGAUGCCAGUAAGAUUACUAGAUUUGUAAAUUCUGUUUUUCCUUUUGGGGGUAGUAACCUACAAACAUCAUUUUCUGCUUUUAUCCUGAGUUAUAUUUUAUUGAGAUGGAUUUGGGAAUCUUUAAGGUACUCUUGCAAGGUUUGCAAGAGUUAUUGCAAAGUUUUUGAGGGAUUCACUGGGACUUCAAGUGCACCACUUAGGGCAUCUGUAUUAUCAUGAAUCCAAGGUUAGUGUAAAUCAAUCUCUAGCACUCUAGAGUCACUUCUGUUCUUUUGGUCCUUCUUGAGAGCUGUUAUGACUUUGCUUUUACUCAAGAUCAUUAGCAUUAUAUGGGCCAAAUUCAAAGACUUAACUAUAAAAGGAACCUCUAAAGGACCUCUGAAACUGACUAUUGUGUAUCUUUUUCAGAGAUAACAUGAAUGUUUCACCUAUGCGGGAUUUCUAUACUAGAGAUCUAAUAAUCUUACAAGGUGAAGCUUGGAGGAAAUUAUGGUAGAAAGGAAUUUAUUUUUUCCUCUGCUUAUAUUCCUUAUGAUAAGGAUGAACUUCCACUAACAAUUUUUGUGCAUUUUGUGAAAUUCUGUUAACAGAAUCAUUUUGAUUUAUUGG